AAAAUGCGAUAAGUAAUGUGAAUUGCAGAAUUCAGUGAAUCAUCGAAUCUUUGAACGCACAUUGCGACCGCCAGUAUUCUGGCGGGCAUGCCUGUUCGAGCGUCAUUUCAACCCUCAAGCCCCCGGGUUUGGUGUUGGGGAUCGGGCUGCGGUUCUACCGCGUCCCGGCCCCGAAAUCUAGUGGCGGUCUCGCUGCAGCCUCCAUUGCGUAGUAGCUAACACCUCGCAACUGGAACGCGGCGCGGCCAAGCCGUUAAACCCCCAACUUCUGAAUGUUGACCUCGGAUCAGGUAGGAAUACCCGCUGAACUUAAGC
RNAcentral lists this unclassified non-coding RNA (315 nucleotides) under plant metagenome. RNAcentral's name for it is "partial contains 5.8S ribosomal RNA, internal transcribed spacer 2, and large subunit ribosomal RNA". The stretch from base 1 to 105 matches the Rfam family "5.8S ribosomal RNA", at positions 50 to 154 of the family's 154-position model. The record is from RNAcentral.